This 585-nucleotide ribosomal RNA is filed under the name uncultured bacterium. Its description in RNAcentral is "bacterial SSU rRNA". It matches the Rfam family "Bacterial small subunit ribosomal RNA", at positions 344 to 920 of the family's 1533-position model. The record is from RNAcentral.
GGAGGCAGCAGUGGGGAAUUUUGGACAAUGGGGGCAACCCUGAUCCAGCCAUUCCGCGUGAGUGAAGAAGGCCUUCGGGUUGUAAAGCUCUUUCGGCAGGAACGAAACGGUGAGCUCUAACAUAGCUCGCUAAUGACGGUACCUGAAGAAGAAGCACCGGCUAACUACGUGCCAGCAGCCGCGGUAAUACGUAGGGUGCGAGCGUUAAUCGGAAUUACUGGGCGUAAAGCGUGCGCAGGCGGUUGUGUAAGACAGGUGUGAAAUCCCCGGGCUUAACCUGGGAACUGCGCUUGUGACUGCACGGCUAGAGUAUGGCAGAGGGGGGUGGAAUUCCACGUGUAGCAGUGAAAUGCGUAGAGAUGUGGAGGAACACCGAUGGCGAAGGCAGCCCCCUGGGCCAAUACUGACGCUCAUGCACGAAAGCGUGGGGAGCAAACAGGAUUAGAUACCCUGGUAGUCCACGCCCUAAACGAUGUCGACUAGGUGUUCGGUGAGGAGACUCAUUGAGUACCGCAGCUAACGCGUGAAGUCGACCGCCUGGGGAGUACGGUCGCAAGAUUAAAACUCAAAGGAAUUGACGGAAUC